UGAAAUAUUUGGUUUUAAAUUAUAGUAAUCAUUAAAAGAAUACUUUGAUUAUUUAUACUUAAUAUAUUAAUAGGUCUUCCCUAACAAAGAUAAAUAGAACAGUUGUUGUUAAGGAAGACCUGUUGUAUAGCUAAAAUAUUUCAAUUUUGAAAUAAAUUAUCUAAAUCACACUUAUUAGGUUGAAAUAUCCAUAAUAUAUAUAUAUAUCAUGGAGACUCUCUCUUAGGAUCUAUACAGAUAGUUCUAGAUAACAAGACAAUAUCAGGACAGCAUUUGUUUUUCUAAAUUCACAAAACAGUUCUAUUUUUGAUUUGGUCCCAUUCUUCUAUUAAUCAAGCAGAAUUACUAGCCAUCUGGAAAGCUUUAAAUGAUAUCUUCACACACAAGAACUCUGCAAACAAUAACACUACAGAAUACUCACAGACAACAAGUAACUUUAGUUCAAAUCUACAACACAAUAUUCACUCUUCACUGGUCAAUAUUAUCUGUCAGCUAAUGCAGCUAUUUACAGUAGAUUAUAUUUUCACUGAAUCUCUGAUCAUACAAUUAUUGCCUGUUGUAGCAAAUGAGAAGGCCCAAUUAACUUAUAAAAUAUGCUGUAAACAGAGUUCUAAACAUAAUAUACUCAAUGAUUCUCCUCAUAAUAAUGAAAAGACUUUAAAAAACAUCACCUUUGAGUGUUGGCAGAAUUAUAAAAUGAAACACACUGUAAACUCUGUCAUCAAUUCUUACAUAGAAUGAGAAUAAGCACAUCAUCCACUUAUUGGUUAACCUACUCAUUACAAAUCAUGAAAACUUAUAACAAUACUUAUACCAUUUAUAUCACAGAGUCAGUUUAUCUAGCCUUUAAUGACAUCAUAUCAUUUGUUCUUUUCCUGCAGCAAAUACAUAUGACAAAUUGAAAUUCGAAAGAACAUAUGGCUGAUUACAGCUGGCCAUGCAUAUUACAUAAGCUCAGAAAUAAAAACAAUGUAGAAAUAAAUUUGAAAGUUACAUGAAAGAAAUAGAGGCACUUCAUGUUAAUUUCUUUGAAAAUUAAUAAACAGUCAUAGCUACAUCUACAGUCAAGCCUUGUAGACCAAUAAUCUUUUUACUAUCUUAACUUUCAUUGGAUAUAUUAAAACACAAUCCAUCAAGUUUAUCUCACUGUAUGAUGCCUCAACAUUAGAUCAUGAAGCCUAUCUAAUGUGCCUUAUAUUGUAACUGCUACUUUUUCCAUCCAUACUGUCCAUUCUUCUUUAACUUGAUUUAAAUUCUUUAUUUUGAACUGCCUUCCUCUAUUCCUGUUUUCUUGGUAUAAAUAAUUAACUCACAAGGGGAGGUCGCAGCUGUCGGGUCCGGGAUUUGGACGAUUUUUGUAUGUGUUGAUCUGCAGUC
This 1377-nucleotide long non-coding RNA is filed under the name Androctonus crassicauda. Lineage: Eukaryota; Metazoa; Arthropoda; Arachnida; Scorpiones; Buthidae. The record is from RNAcentral.